Molecule: non-coding RNA, 148 nt
Filed under: Homo sapiens (human)
Lineage: Eukaryota; Metazoa; Chordata; Mammalia; Primates; Hominidae
Source: Rfam by way of RNAcentral
GCUGGGCAUGGUGGUGCACGCCUGUAAUCCCAGCUACUUGGGAGGCUAAGGCAGGAGAAUUGCUUGAACCCGGGAGGUGCAGGUUGCAGUGAGCCGAGAUAGCGCCACUGUACUCUGGCCUGGGAGACAGAGCAAGACUCUGUCUCAA